Long non-coding RNA from Lemur catta (Ring-tailed lemur), 754 nucleotides. RefSeq lists it as uncharacterized. The transcript has 4 exons. The record is from RefSeq and is a predicted model, not a curated record. NCBI's taxonomy places the organism in Eukaryota, Metazoa, Chordata, Mammalia, Primates, Lemuridae.
GCGGAGCCUCCUCAGGAGUUGGCAGUUGAGAGUCGAUGGACUCGACCUCCCCAGUUCUGAGAUCCACGGUUUGGAAGCAAUGUUUGGAAACAAUCGCUCAGGAUUCGGAGCCAGCGGCUUUGAUCUGCUCUUCCGCACCCGGGCCGGAACCAAUUUAGCACUUACCACCUGAAAUACACUGGAAGCGUGUUUAUUGUCUGUCUCCAGCCCUGGACCAAGUUCCAAAUUCAACGAACCCUGCACUGUUGCCCAUCAGAGUCCCACCAAACAGCUGUACAGAGCCGUCUUCAGUAAAGUAACUACCAGCAUUCAAAGCAUAAUACUCCCAACCAGGCUUCAUACAGUUGAUGCCAAGGUAGCAACAAACAUUUCAAAUCCAAAUUAUUUAUAAAUUUAGUCCCAGUGAGAGAAAAUAUAAUCAACAAAGAAGGCAGCAGCAAAUAGACCCUCCAAGAAAACCCUUUAUAUCUAGAAUGUUUUUCUUGGUUCUGAUAAGAAAAAAAAAAGAGAGAGAGAUUUGCCUUUGUGCUAUCUUUGCCACACAAAUAUAAUGGUUACUAUUAUGAAGUAGGCUCUAUGCCAAGGGAUGUGUUGCCUUCUAGCUUAUAGUCCUCAUCUCUGUAAAACUGUAGUGAUACAGUAGGAGGAUUUCUGCUGAGCCCUGGAACUUCCUGUAAACAAUUGGACCUGAUAUGUUGUCCAUGGUCAAGGCUAGAUUGUGGCUAUGCAACACAGUGUUCUUUCUUCCCCAUGA